This 331-nucleotide unclassified non-coding RNA is filed under the name soil metagenome. RNAcentral describes it as "partial contains 5.8S ribosomal RNA, internal transcribed spacer 2, and large subunit ribosomal RNA". The stretch from base 1 to 120 matches the Rfam family "5.8S ribosomal RNA", at positions 35 to 154 of the family's 154-position model. The record is from RNAcentral.
GAUGAAGAACGUAGCGAAAUGCGAUAAGUAAUGUGAAUUGCAGAAUUCAGUGAAUCAUCGAAUCUUUGAACGCACAUUGCGCCCCCUGGUAUUCCGGGGGGCAUGCCUGUUCGAGCGUCAUUUCACCACUCAAGCCUCGCUUGGUAUUGGGCAACGCGGUCCGCCGCGUGCCUCAAAUCGACCGGCUGGGUCUUCUGUCCCCUAAGCGUUGUGGAAACUAUUCGCUAAAGGGUGCUCGAGAGGCUACGCCGUAAAACAAACCCAUUUCUAAGGUUGACCUCGGAUCAGGUAGGGAUACCCGCUGAACUUAAGCAUAUCAAUAAGCGGAGGA